Long non-coding RNA from Lates calcarifer (barramundi perch), 345 nucleotides. RefSeq lists it as uncharacterized. The record is from RefSeq and is a predicted model, not a curated record. The transcript has 3 exons. Lineage: Eukaryota; Metazoa; Chordata; Actinopteri; Centropomidae.
GAAGAAGGUUCCUGCAGCGACACCGAGCAGACCGACAGUCAGACCCACUCCACAGAAGACUGCAGGUCCAAUACUGGGCUGCUGCACCUCCACAUCUGGAGAGAGAGACAGAGGUUAACUCCACAUCUGGAGAGAGACACAGAGGUUAACUCCACAUCUGGAGACACAAAGGUUAACUCCACAUCUGGAGACAGAGACAGAGGUUAACUCCACAUCUGGAGACAGACACAGAGGUUAACUCCACAUCUGGAGACACAAAGGUUAACUCCACAUCUGGAGACAGAGACACAGAGGUUAACUCCACAUCUGGAGACAGACAGAUGUUGUGUCUCACCCCAGAUUCUG